CCCCGUGCUAAGGCCUUCUGAACCCAACUUUGCCUCUGCAAAUUGAGUCGCCUUAGUUCCUCCAUCAAAUGCUCCUCCGAGAUAAAGUGCAUGUGCCCAAAAGCUCCCUUCGUCUUUGGCACCAUGCAAGAUGAGUCCGCUCCGUCAGAAUGAAUGACCCAUGGAACAACAUGAUCCUACUCUUGCCUCUGCAAGAGUUCAUGUCCUUGACCUCUGUCCAAGGAAAGC
This 228-nucleotide long non-coding RNA is filed under the name Musa acuminata (dwarf banana). Its description in RNAcentral is "long non-coding RNA (MACU_LNC006864)". The record is from RNAcentral. Lineage: Eukaryota; Viridiplantae; Streptophyta; Magnoliopsida; Zingiberales; Musaceae.